CACACAUUUGACCCUCCUUUCUUUAAGACCCCCAUGCUUCCACCCAUCACUCCCUCCUCCACCAUUUUCCUCCCUCUCUCUCUCUCUCCAUCCUCACCACCACCACCACCACCACCACCACCACCAAAACCAAACACUAACAAUUAAUCACUCCCACCUCCUCCUAAUCCACUGUAACCACCAUUUUUUUCUUUCCCCUCUCUCUUCUUUAUUUCCAUCAUUUAUCAUCCUCAAAACCACCACCUCCCCCACCCAACAACAAAACA
This 266-nucleotide long non-coding RNA is filed under the name Ananas comosus (pineapple). RNAcentral's name for it is "long non-coding RNA (ACOM_LNC002332)". The record is from RNAcentral. Lineage: Eukaryota; Viridiplantae; Streptophyta; Magnoliopsida; Poales; Bromeliaceae.